UUAAAUUGAAGAGUUUGAUCAUGGCUCAGAUUGAACGCUGGCGGCAGGCCUAACACAUGCAAGUCGAACGGUAACAGGAAACAGCUUGCUGUUUCGCUGACGAGUGGCGGACGGGUGAGUAAUGUCUGGGAAACUGCCUGAUGGAGGGGGAUAACUACUGGAAACGGUAGCUAAUACCGCAUAACGUCGCAAGACCAAAGAGGGGGACCUUCGGGCCUCUUGCCAUCGGAUGUGCCCAGAUGGGAUUAGCUAGUAGGUGGGGUAACGGCUCACCUAGGCGACGAUCCCUAGCUGGUCUGAGAGGAUGACCAGCCACACUGGAACUGAGACACGGUCCAGACUCCUACGGGAGGCAGCAGUGGGGAAUAUUGCACAAUGGGCGCAAGCCUGAUGCAGCCAUGCCGCGUGUAUGAAGAAGGCCUUCGGGUUGUAAAGUACUUUCAGCGGGGAGGAAGGGAGUAAAGUUAAUACCUUUGCUCAUUGACGUUACCCGCAGAAGAAGCACCGGCUAACUCCGUGCCAGCAGCCGCGGUAAUACGGAGGGUGCAAGCGUUAAUCGGAAUUACUGGGCGUAAAGCGCACGCAGGCGGUUUGUUAAGUCAGAUGUGAAAUCCCCGGGCUCAACCUGGGAACUGCAUCUGAUACUGGCAAGCUUGAGUCUCGUAGAGGGGGGUAGAAUUCCAGGUGUAGCGGUGAAAUGCGUAGAGAUCUGGAGGAAUACCGGUGGCGAAGGCGGCCCCCUGGACGAAGACUGACGCUCAGGUGCGAAAGCGUGGGGAGCAAACAGGAUUAGAUACCCUGGUAGUCCACGCCGUAAACGAUGUCGACUUGGAGGUUGUGCCCUUGAGGCGUGGCUUCCGGAGCUAACGCGUUAAGUCGACCGCCUGGGGAGUACGGCCGCAAGGUUAAAACUCAAAUGAAUUGACGGGGGCCCGCACAAGCGGUGGAGCAUGUGGUUUAAUUCGAUGCAACGCGAAGAACCUUACCUGGUCUUGACAUCCACGGAAGUUUUCAGAGAUGGAAUGGUGCCUUCGGGAACCGUGAGACAGGUGCUGCAUGGCUGUCGUCAGCUCGUGUUGUGAAAUGUUGGGUUAAGUCCCGCAACGAGCGCAACCCUUAUCCUUUGUUGCCAGCGGUCCGGCCGGGAACUCAAAGGAGACUGCCAGUGAUAAACUGGAGGAAGGUGGGGAUGACGUCAAGUCAUCAUGGCCCUUACGACCAGGGCUACACACGUGCUACAAUGGCGCAUACAAAGAGAAGCGACCUCGCGAGAGCAAGCGGACCUCAUAAAGUGCGUCGUAGUCCGGAUUGGAGUCUGCAACUCGACUCCAUGAAGUCGGAAUCGCUAGUAAUCGUGGAUCAGAAUGCCACGGUGAAUACGUUCCCGGGCCUUGUACACACCGCCCGUCACACCAUGGGAGUGGGUUGCAAAAGAAGUAGGUAGCUUAACCUUCGGGAGGGCGCUUACCACUUUGUGAUUCAUGACUGGGGUGAAGUCGUAACAAGGUAACCGUAGGGGAACCUGCGGUUGGAUCACCUCCUUACCUUAAAGAA
This 1554-nucleotide ribosomal RNA is filed under the name Escherichia coli. RNAcentral describes it as "bacterial SSU rRNA". It matches the Rfam family "Bacterial small subunit ribosomal RNA". Lineage: Bacteria; Pseudomonadati; Pseudomonadota; Gammaproteobacteria; Enterobacterales; Enterobacteriaceae. The record is from RNAcentral.